GCUGGACGAGCAUGUUAAACCAUCUGAUUGCUGUUAACAACCUGGAGCCGGUGAUGGAGAAGAACGGGCUGGUACUGCGAGAGGACCUCUUCUUCAUCGAGGAGCUGAUCUUUGGGAAAAAGACCGACCCUGAUCAUCCAAAAAUAGAGGUGUGCACAUUGAGGGUGCACUCACACUAGGCCAUCUGUGCCAAGCCAAAGUCUGUUUGACAACUGUACCGUACUCAGAGUUGGGUACCUGGCUGGAAAGAAUGCAAAAUCUUUGAAAGAGAAACAGCCUUAACUGAAUAUCGAUGACAGAGACAUCCUCUGUGUGCAAAUCGCUGGCCUCUGCCAUGAUCUGUGACACAGACCUUUCUCUCAUCUGUUUGAUGGGAUGUUCAUUCCUGAAGCACGUCCAGCAUCCACAUGGACGGUACUGAAGGAUCUCCCCCUGCUUUACCCCAAAUUCCCCUCGCUGUUUGUUCCAAGACAUUUCAAAGACCAUUAUCUGGCACUACACUAAAACAAGCAAAGCGUCUGGCCUAACGUUCCUGAACUACUACCUUCUAUUCACAGCCUCAGGAUUCCAACCCAAAAACUUUGAGCGUUCAGAAAGAAAAACAAAAUGUCACCUCAGUUUACAAAGUACAACUUAAAAUGCAAAAAAUGCUGAGAUUUUUUAAGAGAAGAGGAAUGAGUGGAAGAGAGCACGAUUUGGUAAAUAUACAACCCUCUGUCAAAACACAGCCUCCCUCUCAGCUCCCUUCAUAAUUUUUCUGCCAUUUAAAGGAUAACACCAUGGGUGCAGAUGUGAUUGACAGGCAAUAGGAAUCCAGAAUCAAUCAGGAAAGGUCCAUGAAUUGUUUAAAAUCUAAAAUGCUUAUAGCUGGUGGAUAACUAUGCCAUUUGUCAAAGAUUAUACUGAAUUUAUAGCUCUUAAA
Gadus morhua (Atlantic cod) is the source of this 922-nucleotide long non-coding RNA. RefSeq lists it as uncharacterized. NCBI's taxonomy places the organism in Eukaryota, Metazoa, Chordata, Actinopteri, Gadiformes, Gadidae. The record is from RefSeq and is a predicted model, not a curated record. The transcript has 3 exons.